GACGAACGCUGGCGGCGUGCUUAACACAUGCAAGUCGAACGAAAAGAGGGAAAGAGCCUGCUCUUUCCGGAAUUGAGUGGCAAACGGGUGAGUAACACGUAAACAACCUGCCUUCAGGAUGGGGACAACAGACGGAAACGACUGCUAAUACCGAAUAAGUUCCAAGAGCCGCAUGGCCCAUGGAAGAAAAGGUGGCCUCUACCUGUAAGCUAUCGCCUGAAGAGGGGUUUGCGUCUGAUUAGCUGGUUGGCGGGGUAACGGCCCACCAAGGCGACGAUCAGUAGCCGGUCUGAGAGGAUGAACGGCCACACUGGAACUGAGACACGGUCCAGACUCCUACGGGAGGCAGCAGUGGGGAAUCUUCCGCAAUGGGCGAAAGCCUGACGGAGCAACGCCGCGUGAGUGAUGACGGCCUUCGGGUUGUAAAACUCUGUGAUCCGGGACGAAAAGGCAGAGUGCGAAGAACAAACUGCAUUGACGGUACCGGAAAAGCAAGCCACGGCUAACUACGUG
RNAcentral lists this ribosomal RNA (513 nucleotides) under uncultured bacterium. Its description in RNAcentral is "partial 16S ribosomal RNA". It matches the Rfam family "Bacterial small subunit ribosomal RNA", at positions 28 to 507 of the family's 1533-position model. The record is from RNAcentral.